This is a long non-coding RNA of Erigeron canadensis, 396 nucleotides long. RefSeq lists it as uncharacterized. The record is from RefSeq and is a predicted model, not a curated record. The transcript is spliced from 2 exons. Lineage: Eukaryota; Viridiplantae; Streptophyta; Magnoliopsida; Asterales; Asteraceae.
GAUACUUUAGAUUUGGUGAUCAAGAUUCAAAUUUACCUUGUAUGGUUGGAGAUAGAGAUUUUGUUGUCUUUGGUGGAUUACCAUUACCAACAAGAUUAGGAAGAAAAAAAGGAACUUUAAAGUUGUGAAUGUUUUCUUUGAUUUUUUUUAGUCUAUUUGUUUGAGAAUAUAUGGAGCAAGAAGAUUCAGACUCAUUUUCCCAUAUGCCAUUGUUGGAUUUUCGGCUUACGAUGGAUUCGAAGGUUUUAUAGGAGCAUAGUUCACAUGAUUUUUGCACAUAUAUUAGUUAGCUUAUUAUUUUGAUUUCUUAUUGUGUACAUAGUAUGAAUUGAUGAAUGUUUUUACAUUUUAAGUUGUAUUGUUUGGAUGGAACGAAUACUAGUUUUAAAUUUGAAA